GAUGAACGCUGGCGGCGUGCCUAAUACAUGCGAGUCGAGCGAACAGACGAGGAGCUUGCUCCUCUGACGUUAGCGGCGGACGGGUGAGUAACACGUGGAUAACCUACCUAUAAGACUGGGAUAACUUCGGGAAACCGGAGCUAAUACCGGAUAAUAUAUUGAACCGCAUUGUUCAAUAGUGAAAGACGGUUUUGCUGUCACUUAUAGAUGGAUCUGGGCCGCAUUAGCUAGUUGGUAAGGUAACGGCUUACCAAGGCAACGAUGCGUAGCCGACCUGAGAGGGUGGUCGGCCACACUGGAACUGAGACACGGUCCAGACUCCUACGGGAGGCAGCAGUAGGGAAUCUUCCGCAAUGGGCGAAAGCCUGACGGAGCAACGCCGCGUGAGUGAUGAAGGUCUUCGGAUCGUAAAACUCUGUUAUUAGGGAAGAACAAAUGUGUAAGUAACUAUGCACGUCUUGACGGUACCUAAUCAGAAAGCCACGGCUAACUACGUG
Molecule: ribosomal RNA, 497 nt
Filed under: uncultured bacterium
Lineage: Bacteria
Description: partial 16S ribosomal RNA
Rfam family: Bacterial small subunit ribosomal RNA
Source: RNAcentral